This is a long non-coding RNA of Myripristis murdjan (pinecone soldierfish), 1163 nucleotides long. RefSeq lists it as uncharacterized. The transcript is spliced from 2 exons. NCBI's taxonomy places the organism in Eukaryota, Metazoa, Chordata, Actinopteri, Holocentriformes, Holocentridae. The record is from RefSeq and is a predicted model, not a curated record.
AUAGCACCAAAUUGAUGCAGUUUUUUUCCUAUCUUCAUUCAACGGCGUGGUCUUUCUGGUUGAGAGUAUGGCGUUUUGAUUUCAUGUUCUGAUUUUCCAAUGCUUUCUCUCAAAACCCUGCCCUCGCACUCAAAUAGCCCCUGCUCACGCUCAGAUUUGCUUUGCUUCUACUCAGACUGUAUGCUUGCCCUCAUAUAUUGUUGCUUGCACAGAUUUUCUGUGUUCCAGCUUUAGCCGUUCUCGUCGCAUUCCGGCUGCUUCUGCGCACUCAUGAAAAAUCUGCUUGCGAGUUUCUGCUCUGCUCUCUAAUUAGUUUUUGCAGUAACUAUUUCAAAAUUCCCCAACCAAGACUGCCAGGUGUAGUGUUGAUCAAUGACAUAUUUCUUGCCUCCUUGCAGGCAUGUUCACUUUACUUCUCUUUAACUGGGUUCAUCCACUCCUCCCCUGCAAGGCUUGAUUAUGUGUACUUCCCUAGCUUUCUUUAUGACUUUUGGAAUAAAUGGACAGUUAAAAUAUAUGCCAGUGUCCUUACUCUUUACUAUAAUAGCUACAUAUACAUAGCUGUAUAGCACACUGGCCUCCCAUCAGUGCUAGGGUUUGUGCUUGCCCACUAAGUGGCAGCAAUGAGGGACAGGUAGCCUGGUAGAGCCACCCAACACAGUCUGCUAAAAAUGUCAUUCCCAUACAACUAAACUGGAAUAAAGACUAAUUGAUUACAAAAGCCCCCGCGACCCUAGUGAGGAUAAGCGGUUUAGAAGAUGAAUGAAUGAAUGAAUGAUUACAAAAGCUCUUGUUAUAUGUUACAAACAAAAAUCUGUGACAAAUUUUGUUCUGCUCAAAACGUAAUUGAGAAUGCAGUUUAGUUGUGUGAGAUUAUAAUUUGUAGGACGCAGGGUUGAGCCCGGUGAUACUAUCUGACGGGGCUGUAAUGUCAGGGCUUAGCAGGCAGCCAGGCAGCAGCCACUGGAGCUGUAGAAGUAUCAGCAUCCUAUUGGUUUGGGAAUUUUGCCAGGGUUAUUGCACCAAAGGGUUGGGGGCAAUAUCCAGGUUUAGAGGGAAACCAUUACAAAAUCUGAAUGUGAAUUCGUUAAGUCAUACUCCCAAACUGAAAGACCACAAUCUUGAAUUAAAAUAGGGUAAAAAAAAAAAAAAAAAAAAAAAAA